This is a long non-coding RNA of Gadus chalcogrammus (walleye pollock), 687 nucleotides long. RefSeq lists it as uncharacterized. The record is from RefSeq and is a predicted model, not a curated record. The transcript is spliced from 2 exons. NCBI's taxonomy places the organism in Eukaryota, Metazoa, Chordata, Actinopteri, Gadiformes, Gadidae.
UGUUGCAUUGUAUCAGAGAAUGUCUAAUAUGAGGAGAACUGGCACUCGCGGGUUAUUUCCGGGUUUCUGGACUGGUUGCAGUAAUAAUCUUUGACCACGCGGGGCGCUCGUAGGCGAGUCCAGAAUGAAUGGGAGCCAACGGGGUUUUAUCCUCAGAAUCCACUUUUCUCACGAUGUAAUUUUUUGUCAAGUAAUUUUAAAGUUGCUAUCAAAGGGUGGGGCUAAGAUAAUAAACUCAGCUGAAUAUUGCAUUUUUUAAGGUCACGUAUCUGUUCUAAAAAGGCGUUAAAAACAUGCGAUGACGUCACACACUGUAAUACUGUCAGAGGUACUGCUUUACGGCAGUUUCUAAAGCACUUCCCUUGUCCCGCAACGAUAACACCAGCUGUUGGAGUCGGACCUUGAUGCUGUGACAACGGACAAGUCUUCUUCCUCUGUCCUUUUCCCCUGCCUCUGUUCAGUAUGUUCAGUGUUGUUAAAUCAUCUUUUUUUUUAUUAGUUACUGUUCUUAUUGUGUUCUUGUUAGUGUGAUUUUUGAAUAAACUUGCCUGUUGCAAUGUUGGUAUAAUGUUUGUAUAAUUACUGUUAUACAACUGUUACUGUUUCAAUGUGACCCAGACCAUAUUUCUCAUUUAACAAACAUGUGUAGCUUAUAAUGUGUUGCAUGGCAGAGCAAUUACGGUAUAU